This 198-nucleotide unclassified non-coding RNA is filed under the name uncultured Thelephoraceae. RNAcentral's name for it is "sequence contains ITS1". Lineage: Eukaryota; Fungi; Basidiomycota; Agaricomycetes; Thelephorales; Thelephoraceae. The record is from RNAcentral.
CUGAACUGCCGACACGAGCUGUUGCUGGUCUCCAAAUGGGGGCAUGUGCACGCUCUGUUUGUGCAUCCACUCACACCUGUGCACCUUCUGUAGUUCUGUGGCCUGGGGGGCUCGUCCUCCUGCUGCGGUUCUGCGUCUUUACACUCACACUGUGAUAAAGUCUAACGGAAUGCAUGCUGCGUUUGACGCAAUACAAUA